CUCAUUUCUCACACACCCACACUCGUCAGCGCCACAAGCCAGGAGCCUAGGGGCACUUCUUUUCGAACCCGCUCUUCACUCUCGCCGUCUUCACUCUUCAUCGGCCUUGCGUGGAAUUCCGAGUAGCAGGCGUCGUCGCCAGAAAGUGAACUCGCUGAUUUUUCCUCCUUUAGCUUCAGCCUUCAGUAGCAUCCCCUGACCUUGGAAGGAGGCAACCUCAACCUCAAAUGAAUCCCUUCAUACCAAAGGUCCGCGCGGCAAACGAAGCUGUGGCGUCGAAGGAGAAGCGAAAGGGGAAGCACGACAAGCCCAAGCCAUGGGACGACAACCCCAAUAUCGACCACUGGAAAAUCGACAAGUUCGACCCUUCCUGAAACGAAGGCGGCCUGCUCGAAGUAAGCUCCUUCUCCACUCUCUUCCCUCAGUACCGCGAAAAGUACCUCCAAGAAGCAUGGCCGAUGGUCAAAUCCUCUCUCAAACAAUUCGGCGUCGCGUGCGAACUCAAUUUGGUCGAGGGUUCCAUGACCGUAUCGCCC
Molecule: non-coding RNA, 536 nt
Organism: Cajanus cajan (pigeon pea)
Lineage: Eukaryota; Viridiplantae; Streptophyta; Magnoliopsida; Fabales; Fabaceae
Source: RefSeq, a predicted model, not a curated record